CCGGCGACCGGCGCACGGUGAGUAACACGUAUGGAACCUGCCCGCAGCAGGGGGAUAAGCGGAAGAAAUUCCGUCUAAUACCGCGUAACACCGCAGAGGGGCAUCCCUCGGCGGUUAAAGAUUCAUCGGCUGCGGAUGGCCAUGCGGCGCAUUAGCUAGUCGGCGGGGUAACGGCCCACCGAGGCGACGAUGCGUAGGGGUUCUGAGAGGAAGGUCCCCCACACUGGUACUGAGACACGGACCAGACUCCUACGGAAGGCAGCAG
This 265-nucleotide ribosomal RNA is filed under the name uncultured bacterium. Its description in RNAcentral is "partial 16S ribosomal RNA". It matches the Rfam family "Bacterial small subunit ribosomal RNA", at positions 88 to 354 of the family's 1533-position model. The record is from RNAcentral.